CUGACAAUGAGAACAAUUAAUCAAUGGCAUGGUUUGCCUCUGAAAGUUGUGGGUGGCCUAUCAUUGGAGGUUUCCAAGAAGAGAUGGGCCAGCCAUUUGUCUGGGAUGCAAUAGGACCUCCUGCCUU
This is a non-coding RNA of Pseudonaja textilis, 127 nucleotides long. NCBI's taxonomy places the organism in Eukaryota, Metazoa, Chordata, Lepidosauria, Squamata, Elapidae. The record is from RefSeq and is a predicted model, not a curated record.